UCUGGUUCCAACAAAAUAAAUUGCAAGUUUAUUGGUGCUAAAAUAGCUGGGG
RNAcentral lists this transfer RNA (52 nucleotides) under Batillipes pennaki. Its description in RNAcentral is "tRNA-Cys". Lineage: Eukaryota; Metazoa; Tardigrada; Heterotardigrada; Arthrotardigrada; Batillipedidae. The record is from RNAcentral.